CCCAGACUCCUACGGGAGGCAGCAGUGGGGGAUAUUGCACAAUGGGGGAAACCCUGAUGCAGCGACACCGCGUGGGUGAGGAAGCGCUUCGGCGUGUAAAGCCCUAUCAGUGGGGAAGAAAAAGGACGGUACCCAAAGAAGAAGCACCGGCUAAAUACGUGCCAGCAGCCGCGGUAAUACGUAGGUGGCAAGCGUUGUCCGGAUUUACUGGGUGUAAAGGGCGUGUAGCCGGGCUGACAAGUCAGAUGUGAAAUCCGGGGGCUCAACCCCCGAACUGCAUUUGAAACUGUUGGUCUUGAGUAUCGGAGAGGCUGGCGGAAUUCCUAGUGUAGCGGUGAAAUGCGUAGAUAUUAGGAGGAACACCAGUGGCGAAGGCGGCCUGCUGGACGACAACUGACGGUGAGGCGCGAAAGCGUGGGGAGCAAACAGGAUUAGAUACCCCUGUAGCC
This 449-nucleotide ribosomal RNA is filed under the name uncultured bacterium. RNAcentral's name for it is "bacterial SSU rRNA". It matches the Rfam family "Bacterial small subunit ribosomal RNA", at positions 330 to 795 of the family's 1533-position model. The record is from RNAcentral.